CUUGGUCUAUGUGAAUAUUAAACAAAGGAUGCAGAUGGAUUCAUGACAAAAUUGUGUUUUGGUGAUGGUGAUGUGUUUGUAAAUCUUACUUUACUGAACAUUCUUGCUGCUUACAAUUAUCUCUAUCUAUAAUGAACUUGGCCCAGUAGUUUCAGAGGAGAAGAUUUUUGUAAAAGAUAACUAAGAUUUACGAAAAAUGGUUCAAAAUUGACUAUAAAGGGCAAUAACUCCUAAGGGGUCAACUGACCAUUUCAGUCAUGUUGACUUAUUUGUAAAUCUUUACUUUGCUGAACAUUAUUGCUGUUUACAGUUUAUCUCUAUCUAUAAUAAUAUUCAAGAUAAUAACCAAAAACAGCAAAAUUUCCUUAAAAUUACCAAUUCAGGGGCAGCAACCCAACAACAGGUCGUCCGAUUCAUCUGAAAAUUUCAGGGCAGAUAGAUCUUGACCAUAUAAUCAAUUUUACUUACGUCAGAUUUGCUCUAAAUGCUUUGGUUUUUGAGUUAUAAGCCAAAAACUGAAUUUUACCCCUAUGUUCUAUUUUUAGCUGUGGCGGCCAUCUUGGUUGGUUGGCCGGGUCACGCCACACAUUUUUUAAAACUAGAUACCCCAAUGAUGAUUGUGGCCAAGUUUGGUUUAAUUUGGCCCAGUGGUUUC
This 655-nucleotide long non-coding RNA is filed under the name Mytilus galloprovincialis (Mediterranean mussel). The record is from RNAcentral. Lineage: Eukaryota; Metazoa; Mollusca; Bivalvia; Mytilida; Mytilidae.